This 2902-nucleotide ribosomal RNA is filed under the name Escherichia coli. Its description in RNAcentral is "bacterial LSU rRNA". It matches the Rfam family "Bacterial large subunit ribosomal RNA". Lineage: Bacteria; Pseudomonadati; Pseudomonadota; Gammaproteobacteria; Enterobacterales; Enterobacteriaceae. The record is from RNAcentral.
UUAAGCGACUAAGCGUACACGGUGGAUGCCCUGGCAGUCAGAGGCGAUGAAGGACGUGCUAAUCUGCGAUAAGCGUCGGUGAGGUGAUAUGAACCGUUAUAACCGGCGAUUUCCGAAUGGGGAAACCCAGUGUGUUUCGACACACUAUCAUUAACUGAAUCCAUAGGUUAAUGAGGCGAACCGGGGGAACUGAAACAUCUAAGUACCCCGAGGAAAAGAAAUCAACCGAGAUUCCCCCAGUAGCGGCGAGCGAACGGGGAGGAGCCCAGAGCCUGAAUCAGUGUGUGUGUUAGUGGAAGCGUCUGGAAAGGCGCGCGAUACAGGGUGACAGCCCCGUACACAAAAAUGCACAUACUGUGAGCUCGAUGAGUAGGGCGGGACACGUGGUAUCCUGUCUGAAUAUGGGGGGACCAUCCUCCAAGGCUAAAUACUCCUGACUGACCGAUAGUGAACCAGUACCGUGAGGGAAAGGCGAAAAGAACCCCGGCGAGGGGAGUGAAAAAGAACCUGAAACCGUGUACGUACAAGCAGUGGGAGCCUCUUAAUGGGGUGACUGCGUACCUUUUGUAUAAUGGGUCAGCGACUUAUAUUCUGUAGCAAGGUUAACCGAAUAGGGGAGCCGAAGGGAAACCGAGUCUUAACUGGGCGUUAAGUUGCAGGGUAUAGACCCGAAACCCGGUGAUCUAGCCAUGGGCAGGUUGAAGGUUGGGUAACACUAACUGGAGGACCGAACCGACUAAUGUUGAAAAAUUAGCGGAUGACUUGUGGCUGGGGGUGAAAGGCCAAUCAAACCGGGAGAUAGCUGGUUCUCCCCGAAAGCUAUUUAGGUAGCGCCUCGUGAAUUCAUCUCCGGGGGUAGAGCACUGUUUCGGCAAGGGGGUCAUCCCGACUUACCAACCCGAUGCAAACUGCGAAUACCGGAGAAUGUUAUCACGGGAGACACACGGCGGGUGCUAACGUCCGUCGUGAAGAGGGAAACAACCCAGACCGCCAGCUAAGGUCCCAAAGUCAUGGUUAAGUGGGAAACGAUGUGGGAAGGCCCAGACAGCCAGGAUGUUGGCUUAGAAGCAGCCAUCAUUUAAAGAAAGCGUAAUAGCUCACUGGUCGAGUCGGCCUGCGCGGAAGAUGUAACGGGGCUAAACCAUGCACCGAAGCUGCGGCAGCGACACUAUGUGUUGUUGGGUAGGGGAGCGUUCUGUAAGCCUGUGAAGGUGUGCUGUGAGGCAUGCUGGAGGUAUCAGAAGUGCGAAUGCUGACAUAAGUAACGAUAAAGCGGGUGAAAAGCCCGCUCGCCGGAAGACCAAGGGUUCCUGUCCAACGUUAAUCGGGGCAGGGUGAGUCGACCCCUAAGGCGAGGCCGAAAGGCGUAGUCGAUGGGAAACAGGUUAAUAUUCCUGUACUUGGUGUUACUGCGAAGGGGGGACGGAGAAGGCUAUGUUGGCCGGGCGACGGUUGUCCCGGUUUAAGCGUGUAGGCUGGUUUUCCAGGCAAAUCCGGAAAACCAAGGCUGAGGCGUGAUGACGAGGCACUACGGUGCUGAAGCGACAAAUGCCCUGCUUCCAGGAAAAGCCUCUAAGCAUCAGGUAACAUCAAAUCGUACCCCAAACCGACACAGGUGGUCAGGUAGAGAAUACCAAGGCGCUUGAGAGAACUCGGGUGAAGGAACUAGGCAAAAUGGUGCCGUAACUUCGGGAGAAGGCACGCUGAUAUGUAGGUGAAGCGACUUGCUCGUGGAGCUGAAAUCAGUCGAAGAUACCAGCUGGCUGCAACUGUUUAUUAAAAACACAGCACUGUGCAAACACGAAAGUGGACGUAUACGGUGUGACGCCUGCCCGGUGCCGGAAGGUUAAUUGAUGGGGUUAGCGGUAACGCGAAGCUCUUGAUCGAAGCCCCGGUAAACGGCGGCCGUAACUAUAACGGUCCUAAGGUAGCGAAAUUCCUUGUCGGGUAAGUUCCGACCUGCACGAAUGGCGUAAUGAUGGCCAGGCUGUCUCCACCCGAGACUCAGUGAAAUUGAACUCGCUGUGAAGAUGCAGUGUACCCGCGGCAAGACGGAAAGACCCCGUGAACCUUUACUAUAGCUUGACACUGAACAUUGAGCCUUGAUGUGUAGGAUAGGUGGGAGGCUUUGAAGUGUGGACGCCAGUCUGCAUGGAGCCGACCUUGAAAUACCACCCUUUAAUGUUUGAUGUUCUAACGUGGGCCCCUAAUCGGGGUUGCGGACAGUGUCUGGUGGGUAGUUUGACUGGGGCGGUCUCCUCCUAAAGAGUAACGGAGGAGCACGAAGGUUGGCUAAUCCUGGUCGGACAUCAGGAGGUUAGUGCAAUGGCAUAAGCCAGCUUGACUGCGAGCGUGACGGCGCGAGCAGGUGCGAAAGCAGGUCAUAGUGAUCCGGUGGUUCUGAAUGGAAGGGCCAUCGCUCAACGGAUAAAAGGUACUCCGGGGAUAACAGGCUGAUACCGCCCAAGAGUUCAUAUCGACGGCGGUGUUUGGCACCUCGAUGUCGGCUCAUCACAUCCUGGGGCUGAAGUAGGUCCCAAGGGUAUGGCUGUUCGCCAUUUAAAGUGGUACGCGAGCUGGGUUUAGAACGUCGUGAGACAGUUCGGUCCCUAUCUGCCGUGGGCGCUGGAGAACUGAGGGGGGCUGCUCCUAGUACGAGAGGACCGGAGUGGACGCAUCACUGGUGUUCGGGUUGUCAUGCCAAUGGCACUGCCCGGUAGCUAAAUGCGGAAGAGAUAAGUGCUGAAAGCAUCUAAGCACGAAACUUGCCCCGAGAUGAGUUCUCCCUGACUCCUUGAGAGUCCUGAAGGAACGUUGAAGACGACGACGUUGAUAGGCCGGGUGUGUAAGCGCAGCGAUGCGUUGAGCUAACCGGUACUAAUGAACCGUGAGGCUUAACCUU